GACCUCCCAGGCUGGCAUCUGGAGAGUGGCUAGUAUUCUGCCAGCUUCAGGUACAGGAGAGGAAGAAAGCCUGGCAGAGCGGUUGCCAUUCCAUUCCCAGCUUGCUCAGUAGCUGGUGAUUGGAAGACACUGCAACAGUG
Ailuropoda melanoleuca (giant panda) is the source of this 140-nucleotide small nucleolar RNA. The record is from Ensembl. NCBI's taxonomy places the organism in Eukaryota, Metazoa, Chordata, Mammalia, Carnivora, Ursidae.